AGACGAGCUCGUAUCUACAUUUUCUCCUGGUUGGUGCUGUAACGGACGUACGGCCCUAAUACACCAACACACUACGACUGAGAUCUCUGUGCACUUGGCGCGGAACAGAUGACUCCACCUUCAGGAAGGUGUGGAAACUCAGCAAAUUGAGGUCACGAGAAUUAAUGCUGAGCCAGACGAGAGCAGGAUUUAAGAGAAGAAUAUCCAGCGCUCUGACGUGUGAGGAGCUUUGAUUCAUCGAGUGGAGAGGAUACAGAAGAGGAGAAGAGUCACUGCCGACCUCUCACAGCCUGACUUUCUUCACAGCAGCCGAGACUGGAGCAAAGCUGGGACGCUUUUAACAAGAGACCUGGAUCCCACCUUUUCAAACACAUGGACAUUUUGUCAUUAAUGAUAAGCACAUAAAACACAUGAUCUGUUAAACCUCAUGAAGGAUUUUAGAGUGGGGAAAAAAACUAUGAAGUUGUAUUUUUUAUGUGAUUCAUUAUUUUUGUUAUUUUUUUGAGUUUAGAGUCUCAUUUGAGAACUGCAUUGGCACUCAGUAGUGCACAUCCCUCCGUCUCCAUUCGAAUCUACACACUCACAGAUAUCAGCCAGAUUUUUCAUCAAUUAUUCUCUGGGAAAACGGUGAAAAACGGCCUCACAAUGUUAAAGAGAGUGAGGGAAAAGAAAUCCUGGAUCUGCCCGCGGAUCCAGAUCCAUGCCAACAUUGAAUGAGUUCUUCCCUCAUCCAUUCAGCAUCAUUCCACCAAGUUUCAUGGAAACCUGGUCAAUAGUUUUUGUGUAAUCUUCCUUACAAACAAACACACAAACAUAUCCUCCUUGGCGUAAGUAAUAAAUGAUUGUGUUAGAAGCUUUUUCAGAUGGACAGACAUAACUGUUGUUGAAUACAUGAAGCUAAAAAAAUAAAAAUAUUGACUUAAUUUUGUUUUAUUUUUUAAUUUACAAACAAUCAGAAAAUGUAUCCACAAAGGUUGAAUUAUAAUAAUAAUCAUUCUGAAUUCUGAGUUUUUAUUUCAUGAAUUCUUUGUAAAUGUAUCUGAAUAUCCUUGUAUUUUUUCUGAUUAAGUUUCUCUACAAGAAAAGUGAAGCUUGUUGUGUUUUGUUUUGCGUCACAAACAGAAACUGGUGGUAGAUUUGUGGACUCCCACAAGCCAGUGCAGCCAAAGUCUUAAUGAAUAUGGGCACACAGACAGAAAAUCGCAGCCAAAUAAGAGAAUAAU
This is a long non-coding RNA of Hippoglossus stenolepis (Pacific halibut), 1223 nucleotides long. RefSeq lists it as uncharacterized. The transcript has 3 exons. The record is from RefSeq and is a predicted model, not a curated record. Lineage: Eukaryota; Metazoa; Chordata; Actinopteri; Pleuronectiformes; Pleuronectidae.